RNAcentral lists this unclassified non-coding RNA (407 nucleotides) under uncultured Glomus. RNAcentral describes it as "SSU rRNA". It matches the Rfam family "Eukaryotic small subunit ribosomal RNA", at positions 569 to 983 of the family's 1831-position model. The record is from RNAcentral. Lineage: Eukaryota; Fungi; Glomeromycota; Glomeromycetes; Glomerales; Glomeraceae.
AGCAGCCGCGGUAAUUCCAGCUCCAAUAGCGUAUAUUAAAGUUGUUGCAGUUAAAAGCUCGUAGUUGAAUUUCGGGAUCAAUGCGUCGGUCGUGCCUUCGGUACGUACUAGCGUCAUUGAUUCCUCCCUUCUGAAGAACCGUGAUGUCAUUAAUUUGGUGUUACGGGGAUUCAGGACUGUUACCUUGAAAAAUUGAGUGUUUAAAGCAGGCUAACGCUUGAAUACAUUAGCAUGGAAUAAUGAAAUAGGACGUUCGAACCUAUUUUGUUGGUUUCUAGGAUCGACGUAAUGAUUAAUAGGGAUAGUUGGGGGCAUUAGUAUUCAAUUGUCAGAGGUGAAAUUCUUGGAUUUAUUGAAGACUAACUACUGCGAAAGCAUUUGCCAAGGAUGUUUUCAUUAAUCAAGAA